Molecule: ribosomal RNA, 292 nt
Filed under: uncultured bacterium
Lineage: Bacteria
Description: partial 16S ribosomal RNA
Rfam family: Bacterial small subunit ribosomal RNA
Source: RNAcentral
GUGUCAGCCGCCGCGGUAAAACGUAGGAGGCGAGCGUUAUCCGGAUUUACUGGGCGUAAAGCGCGUGCAGGCGGUUCGGCAAGUUGGAUGUGAAAUCUCCCGGCUCAACUGGGAGGGGUCGUUCAAAACUACCGGACUAGAGGAUGGUAGAGGAAGGUGGAAUUCCCGGUGUAGUGGUGAAAUGCGUAGAUAUCGGGAGGAACACCAGUGGCGAAAGCGGCCUUCUGGACCAUUCCUGACGCUCAGACGCGAAAGCUAGGGGAGCGAACGGGAUUAGAAACCCGCGUAGUCC